UGGGGAAUUUUGCACAAUGGGGGAAACCCUGAUGCAGCGACGCCGCGUGAUUUAGAAGGCCUUCGGGUUGUAAAAAUCUUUUUUACGGGAUGAAAAUGACAGUACCGUAAGAAUAAGGUCCGGCUAAAUACGUGCCAGCAGCCGCGGUAAUACGUAUGGACCGAGCGUUGUCCGGAAUCAUUGGGCGUAAAGGGUACGUAGGCGGCCUAGUAAGUUAGAAGUGAAAUAAUAUAGCUCAACUAUAUAAAGCUUUUAAAACUGCUAGGCUUGAGAGAUGGAAGGGAAAGUGGAAUUCCUAGUGUAGCGAUGAAAUGCGCAGAUAUUAGGAAGAAUACCGGUGGCGAAGGCGACUUUCUGGUCAUCAUCUGACGCUGAGGUACGAAAGCGUGGGUAGCAAACAG
RNAcentral lists this ribosomal RNA (401 nucleotides) under bacterium. RNAcentral's name for it is "partial 16S ribosomal RNA". It matches the Rfam family "Bacterial small subunit ribosomal RNA", at positions 355 to 775 of the family's 1533-position model. The record is from RNAcentral.